RNAcentral lists this ribosomal RNA (516 nucleotides) under Triticum aestivum (bread wheat). RNAcentral's name for it is "partial small subunit ribosomal RNA". The record is from RNAcentral. Lineage: Eukaryota; Viridiplantae; Streptophyta; Magnoliopsida; Poales; Poaceae.
AUGGAUGCAUCUAGAUGUAUUUUAGUUCUAGAUACAUCCAUAUCCGAGACAAGUAGGGAGUACGUACCAAUGAAAACCAAUCAGCCAAACAAGCACCACGGCAAAACAUGCAAGCUAAUGAUCCAAGGAAGAGAACGGGAGAUCCAAAACUAUGUGCCAUUCAACACACCAGUGAAUGAUAAAAUGGGGUAUACCUUAAUUUGCACAUACAGCUACAUUCGCCUGCACCCUGGAACCGUGAAACGAGCAGGCGAAAACCCAAAUACAACAAAAUUAUUUGCUUGCGGCUGCCGUCUAAUUCAAAAGGACAAAACAAGCUUAUUAAGUAUGCUCCGCUUCUCACACGUUACAGAAAAAUGCACUGCUUUCAAGUUUCGCUGCUCCUCGGAUCUAGCUAGGGUAGAGGCAGUCCAAAUUUAUACUCCCAAGCAACAACUGGUGAGUGAAAUGGAAAAAGCAACUAAAAUCUCGUAUGCCGAUGAUUUAACUUCUUCAAGGGGGCGUAACAUAGAGUAG